Molecule: ribosomal RNA, 596 nt
Filed under: uncultured euryarchaeote
Lineage: Archaea; Methanobacteriati; Methanobacteriota
Description: bacterial SSU rRNA
Rfam family: Archaeal small subunit ribosomal RNA
Source: RNAcentral
ACGGGGUGCAGCAGGCGCGAAAACUUGGCAAUGCGAGAAAUCGUGACCAGGGAACUCCAAGUGGCAGGGGUAAGACCCUGUCUUUUUCCGACUCUAAAUAGGUCGGCGAAUAAGGGGUGGGUAAGGACGGUGCCAGCCGCCGCGGUAAUACCGGCGCCUCAAGUGGUAGUCGCUUUUAUUGGGCCUAAAACGUCCGUAGCCGGUCUGGUACAUUCGUGGGUAAAUCAACUCGCUUAACGAGUUGAAUUCUGCGAGGACGGCCAGACUUGGGACCGGGAGAGGUGUGGGGUACUCUCAGGGUAGGGGUAAAAUCCUGUCAUCCUGAGAGGACCACCUGUUGCGAAGGCUCCACACUAGAACGGAUCCGACGGUCAGGGACGAAGCCUAGGGGCACGAACCGGAUUAGAUACCCGGGUAGUCCUAGGUGUAAACGCUGCGGACUUGAUGUUGGGGACGCUCCGAGCGUUCUCAGUGUCGAAGCGAAGGUGAUAAGUCCACUGCCUGGGGAGUACGGUCGCAAGGCUGAAACUUAAAGGAAUUGGCGGGGGAGCACCGCAACCUGAGGAUUGUGCGGUUUAAUUGGAGUCAACGCCGGA